This 334-nucleotide unclassified non-coding RNA is filed under the name soil metagenome. RNAcentral's name for it is "partial contains 5.8S ribosomal RNA, internal transcribed spacer 2, and large subunit ribosomal RNA". The stretch from base 1 to 120 matches the Rfam family "5.8S ribosomal RNA", at positions 35 to 154 of the family's 154-position model. The record is from RNAcentral.
GAUGAAGAACGCAGCGAAAUGCGAUAAGUAGUGUGAAUUGCAGAAUUCCGUGAAUCAUCGAAUCUUUGAACGCACAUUGCGCCCCUUGGUAUUCCAUGGGGCAUGCCUGUUCGAGCGUCAUUUGUACCUUCAAGCUUUGCUUGGUGUUGGGUGUUUGUCCAUUCUCUUGCAGAGGGACUCGCCUUAAAGUAAUUGGCAGCCAGUGUUUUGGUUUUGAAGCGCAGCACAAGUCGCGAUUCAACGCUAUACGCCAGCUUCCACAAGCCUUUUUCACUUUUGACCUCGGAUCAGGUAGGGAUACCCGCUGAACUUAAGCAUAUCAAUAAGCGGAGGA